GACGUAGGAUGCAAGCGUUGUCCGGAUUUAUUGGGCGUACAGAGUUCGUAGGCUGUUUGUUAAGUCUGAUGUUAAAGACUGGGGCUCAACCUCGGAAAUGCAUUGGAUACUGGCAGACUGGAGUGCAGUAGAGGCUAGUGGAAUUCCCAGUGUAGCGGUGAAAUGCGUAGAUAUUGGGAAGAACACCGGUGGCGUAGGCAGCCCCCUGGGUUAACACUGACGCUCAGGCACGAAAGCGUGGGGAGCAAACAGG
This 253-nucleotide ribosomal RNA is filed under the name uncultured bacterium. Its description in RNAcentral is "partial 16S ribosomal RNA". It matches the Rfam family "Bacterial small subunit ribosomal RNA", at positions 524 to 776 of the family's 1533-position model. The record is from RNAcentral.